This 107-nucleotide small nucleolar RNA is filed under the name Ipomoea nil (Japanese morning glory). Its description in RNAcentral is "Plant small nucleolar RNA R71". It matches the Rfam family "Plant small nucleolar RNA R71". From Rfam's summary of the family: R71 is a member of the C/D box family of snoRNAs containing the C (UGAUGA) and D (CUGA) box motifs. Multiple nearly identical copies of this snoRNA have been identified in Arabidopsis, and it is thought to function as a 2'-O-ribose methylation guide for 18S ribosomal RNA. Lineage: Eukaryota; Viridiplantae; Streptophyta; Magnoliopsida; Solanales; Convolvulaceae. The record is from Rfam by way of RNAcentral.
AUUUGAUGGUGUGGGCAGCUUGCACAUAACUUUUUGAAACGCUCCCAAUAUUCAUACAAUGACUCUCCAUUGUUUUGUCGUAUACCACAUAUUUCCUUUCUAAUGUU